CAAGUCUCGGAUGAUUCUCUGGAGCUGGCUCUCUGCAUUGGUGGAGGCCAUGCUGCUCCAGUCUCGCUGGGUUUGGUGUGGACAGGAGGAAGUGUGAACCACAGUUCGGUUCCCGAGGAAGCCUUACCCACAGCCUCCUUCACCCCAUCCUGGAAAAUGAAAAGCACCGCCACCCUCACAAACAACCCUGCUAACCCAAACCUCCUGUCAGGGGGUGAAUUGUGCACACCACCCCACCGCAUUUCGAUGUUGAAGCCCUAACCCUCAUACCUCAGAAUGUGACUGCAUUUGAAGACAGGGCCUUUAAAGAGGUAAUGAAGAUUAAAUGAGGCCAUGAGAGUGGGCCCAAAUCCAAUUGGAACUGGUGAGUUUAUAA
This 376-nucleotide long non-coding RNA is filed under the name Homo sapiens (human). Its description in RNAcentral is "HSALNT0053925". The record is from RNAcentral. Lineage: Eukaryota; Metazoa; Chordata; Mammalia; Primates; Hominidae.